GAUGAACGCUAGCGAUAGGCUUAACACAUGCAAGUCGAGGGGCAGCAUGAUCUUAGCUUGCUAAGGUCGAUGGCGACCGGCGCACGGGUGCGUAACGCGUAUGCAACUUGCCUUACAGAGGGGGAUAACCCGUUGAAAGACGGACUAAAACCGCAUACACUUGUAUUAUUGCAUGAUAUUACAAGGAAAUAUUUAUAGCUGUAAGAUAGGCAUGCGUCCCAUUAGCUGGUUGGUGAGGUAACGGCUCACCAAGGCGACGAUGGGUAGGGGAACUGAGAGGUUUAUCCCCCACACUGGUACUGAGACACGGACCAGACUCCUACGGGAGGCAGCAGUGAGGAAUAUUGGUCAAUGGGCGAGAGCCUGAACCAGCCAAGUCGCGUGAAGGAAGACAGUCCUAAGGAUUGUAAACUUCUUUUAUACGGGAAUAACGGGCGAUACGAGUAUUGCAUUGAAUUACCUAAGAUAAGCUCGUA
Molecule: ribosomal RNA, 476 nt
Filed under: Porphyromonas gingivalis
Lineage: Bacteria; Pseudomonadati; Bacteroidota; Bacteroidia; Bacteroidales; Porphyromonadaceae
Description: bacterial SSU rRNA
Rfam family: Bacterial small subunit ribosomal RNA
Source: RNAcentral